Cicer arietinum (chickpea) is the source of this 1025-nucleotide non-coding RNA. NCBI's taxonomy places the organism in Eukaryota, Viridiplantae, Streptophyta, Magnoliopsida, Fabales, Fabaceae. The record is from RefSeq and is a predicted model, not a curated record.
CUAGAAUUUUUGAGAGACCAACCGGAGUCAAUGUAGUACAAGUAUAAUUAAUAUCUAAGAUAUUUUACUUCUUUUAUAGUGAACUUUGUUUGAUUUCAAAUUUGGAGAUUCUUUUUUUUACAUGAACUUUUAGUAAUUUCUCUUAUCUCUCCAACGCCACAAGAACACCUCAAUCGGACACUUGUAGCUCUAGAUAUUGCGAAAAUAGUGCAGACACCAAGCGUCGUUACGGGUUGGGGGAUUUCCUUGUGUUUUAGUUCUUUUGGGUUGGUUCUUGUGAUCUUGAAUGACCAAUUUGCGGAUAUUGAUAGAGGCCCACAACCCUUAGGCUUAACAUAGCCACAAAAAAUCAAUUUCAAACCCUAAACAAGUUUAGAGGUCGGUCCUAUGAAUCAAUCAAACUAGAAACAUUCUAUGUUCCCUCUCCUUUCUCAGUUCUUGUUCUCAAUGGUCCUUGGUUUGGAAGUUCUCUACAGAAAAUCAAAUGGAGUGUUGCUAUUGUGAUCCUUGCAUCUUCAUUAAGGAGAACAGAAUGUGCAAUCUACAAAGGAACAAAAAAGAUUGGAGUUCUCUUAUCCUAUUUUAGGAACACGAAAUUCUAAUUAGGUAAAGGGAAUUUGUUUUUCACUUAGUGAGUUUAGACAAUAUGAAUUAGCAAUAGGGGUGUCCCACGACCCCUACUCCUCACGUGGGAACACCGUUUUCUAAAAAAUUAUGUUUUGUUUUAUAUUAAUUGUACAUUUAUGUGAUGAUUGUUUUUGCUAAAAUAAGAGUAUUUUGGUGUUCCCUUAUCUGUUGAGAUAUUACAUAUUAAAAAUUGUCGCAAUUUGACGAGUUUUAGUAUGUGAAAAAAAUUAAGAAAUUCUUGUAGGACAAAUGGGCUGUUGCUGGAAACUUCUGUGUAUAAUAGUUUCCUUGCGUGAUUUUUUCACAAAUUCUAGGAUUUUAAUUUGUGGAUGGGACCAAUUGGUGUUGGUUCAUAUAUGAGCUACCUAUCUUCAAUAAAAAUAUAAAAAAAUUUAAAA